UACGUAGGGCGCAAGCGUUGUCCGGAAUUAUUGGGCGUAAAGAGCUCGUAGGCGGCCAGUUGCGUCUGCUGUGAAAUCCCGGGGCUCAACCCCGGGCGUGCAGUGGAUACGGGCUGGCUAGAGGCAGGCAGGGGAGAACGGAAUUCCCGGUGUAGCGGUGAAAUGCGCAGAUAUCGGGAGGAACACCGAUGGCGAAGGCAGGUCUCUGGGCCACUACUGACGCUGAGAAGCGAAAGCAUGGGGAGCGAACAGG
Molecule: ribosomal RNA, 253 nt
Filed under: uncultured bacterium
Lineage: Bacteria
Description: partial 16S ribosomal RNA
Rfam family: Bacterial small subunit ribosomal RNA
Source: RNAcentral